CAUGCACCACAAUGCAUGUCUCACCUGUAGUAUCCACUCUUCAUGGCCUAAUCACCCUAGCACUUCCAUUUUCUCAAAAUUUUAUAGAAAAUUCCAGUACAAUAAUUUAUUCUUAUGGUGAUCAUAAAUUGCAACCAAAAUUUUUGUUUAAUAUUUAAUAACUUAUUUGCUAAAUUUUCUAUCCAUUUGCGUGAUUUAAAUAGAAAAUACAAUAUUGUAUAAGAUAGUUAUUUUAUGAUAAAAUAACAUACGAUUAUUAAGAAACACAUAUAAAUAUAAAUAAACCAAAUGAUUACAAUUUUUAAUCAUUCUUAUAUUUGUUUCCGCGCAUAAAUUUAUGAAAUGAUUACUAUCUGAACAUAUGGUACUAACAAAAUACUACUCCCUCCGUUUCAUAUUAAGU
RNAcentral lists this long non-coding RNA (403 nucleotides) under Brassica napus (rape). RNAcentral's name for it is "long non-coding RNA (BNAP_LNC014691)". Lineage: Eukaryota; Viridiplantae; Streptophyta; Magnoliopsida; Brassicales; Brassicaceae. The record is from RNAcentral.